RNAcentral lists this microRNA (23 nucleotides) under Oreochromis niloticus (Nile tilapia). Its description in RNAcentral is "oni-miR-10963". The record is from miRBase by way of RNAcentral. Lineage: Eukaryota; Metazoa; Chordata; Actinopteri; Cichliformes; Cichlidae.
UAACAUGUGGUCUGAAAAUCGCU